Molecule: ribosomal RNA, 522 nt
Filed under: Pseudeurotium bakeri
Lineage: Eukaryota; Fungi; Ascomycota; Leotiomycetes; Thelebolales; Pseudeurotiaceae
Description: eukaryotic LSU rRNA
Rfam family: 5.8S ribosomal RNA (bases 146-299)
Source: RNAcentral
GGGGUAUACCUCCCACCCUUUGUUUAUUAUACCUUUGUUGCUUUGGCGGGCCCGUCCUCGGACCACCGGCUUCGGCUGGUCAGUGCCCGCCAGAGGACCUAAAACUCUGUUUGUUCAUAUUGUCUGAGUACUAUAUAAUAGUUAAAACUUUCAACAACGGAUCUCUUGGUUCUGGCAUCGAUGAAGAACGCAGCGAAAUGCGAUAAGUAAUGUGAAUUGCAGAAUUCAGUGAAUCAUCGAAUCUUUGAACGCACAUUGCGCCCCCUGGUAUUCCGGGGGGCAUGCCUGUUCGAGCGUCAUUACAACCCUCAAGCUCUGCUUGGUAUUGGGCUCUGCCGGUCCCGGCAGGCCUUAAAAUCAGUGGCGGUGCCAUUCGGCUUCAAGCGUAGUAAUUCUUCUCGCUUUGGAGACCCGGGUGCGUGCUUGCCAGCAACCCCCAAUUUUUUCAGGUUGACCUCGGAUCAGGUAGGGAUACCCGCUGAACUUAAGCAUAUCAAUAAGCGGAGGGAAAAGAAACGUUGG